GUUGAAGCUUUUGCAUAAACUUUUCUUUUUAAUCUUUUAUAUGCAAGUUUGUUGUUUAUUGGGGCUGUUCUGCUAUUGUUUAUUGGGGCUGUUCUGCUUUGAGUUACUUUUGAAACAAGCCUUUUAGUGCUUUUCUGUUCGUAGCUUUCUUGGGUUUUCAAUUCCACUUGCUCUCCAUUAGAGAUGUAAACUGAGAUAUGAAUGUAAAGCAAUUUUAGACUGUAAUGCUGAUCUGGUAAUGUUUUGGGUGCAAUUGUUUUAGGUGCAA
RNAcentral lists this unclassified non-coding RNA (268 nucleotides) under Hevea brasiliensis (rubber tree). The record is from RNAcentral. Lineage: Eukaryota; Viridiplantae; Streptophyta; Magnoliopsida; Malpighiales; Euphorbiaceae.